Molecule: ribosomal RNA, 367 nt
Filed under: uncultured organism
Description: bacterial LSU rRNA
Rfam family: Bacterial large subunit ribosomal RNA
Source: RNAcentral
CUUUACUGUAGCCUGGUAUUGGGUUCGGGCUUUGACUGCGCAGGAUAGGUGGGAGACUAUGAAGCUGCCCUUGUGGGGGCAGUGGAGUCAUCAGUGAGAUACCACUCUGUCAAGGCUAGAAUUCUAACCGUCUGCCGUUAUCCGGCGACGGAACAGUAUCAGGUGGGCAGUUUGACUGGGGCGGUCGCCUCCUAAACGGUAACGGAGGCGCGCAAAGGUUCCCUCAGGCUGGUUGGAAAUCAGCCGAAGAGUGUAAAGGCAGAAGGGAGCUUGACUGCAAGAGCAACAACUCAAGCAGGGACGAAAGUCGGCCUUAGUGAUCCGACGGCGCUGAGUGGAAAGGCCGUCGCUAAACGGAUAAAAGUUA